This 88-nucleotide transfer RNA is filed under the name Bacteroides ovatus. Its description in RNAcentral is "tRNA-Pseudo-GCT". It matches the Rfam family "tRNA". From Rfam's summary of the family: Transfer RNA (tRNA) molecules are approximately 80 nucleotides in length. Their secondary structure includes four short double-helical elements and three loops (D, anti-codon, and T loops). Lineage: Bacteria; Pseudomonadati; Bacteroidota; Bacteroidia; Bacteroidales; Bacteroidaceae. The record is from RNAcentral.
GGAAGUAUGGGUGAGUGAACGAUACCACCUCUUUGCUAAAGAGGCAAGCUGAAAGGCUUCGGAGGUUUGAAUCCUUCUGCUUCCGCAA